GCUUGCUUUGGCAGCAUAUAUUAAAUUGGAAUGAUAAAGGAAAGAUUAGCAUGGCCCCUGUGCAAAGAUUACACACAAAUUUGUGAAGCAUUCCAUAUUUUU
Molecule: small nuclear RNA, 102 nt
Organism: Sciurus carolinensis (gray squirrel)
Lineage: Eukaryota; Metazoa; Chordata; Mammalia; Rodentia; Sciuridae
Source: RefSeq, a predicted model, not a curated record